Manduca sexta (tobacco hornworm) is the source of this 1017-nucleotide long non-coding RNA. RefSeq lists it as uncharacterized. The transcript has 3 exons. The record is from RefSeq and is a predicted model, not a curated record. NCBI's taxonomy places the organism in Eukaryota, Metazoa, Arthropoda, Insecta, Lepidoptera, Sphingidae.
ACAAGUUCAGUCUCGUAAAUAUAAGUUAGAGCCAAAGCUUUAUAUUAGUCCUAAGGGUGCCAAAAAUAGUAAACAGGUAACGCGACGUUCCAGGUUCUGAUUUGGUACAUUAAGUAAGUGCAUAAACUAAGCCGCAAUUGUUAUAGCGCCUUUUCGGCAUCAUCUCAGAGUUAGAUUACUAAUGUUAAAGCACAAUUAAAUCGGAUCCUCCCCCACUCUACGAGGGAAGUACCGGGCGAUUGCUGGUCGCCUCCCGCCGGAUGACUCACGGAUCACCGCUUUGUGGCUGUAAAUUCCCCACCAUAAGGGAUCGCUCAGAGCAUCAGACUCCAUUAGGUAAGUGGAAUCGAUCGGAGUACCGAUUCCGGUAAGGUGGGAUCGAUCGGAGUACCGAUCCCGGUAAGUGGAAUCGAUCGGAGUACCGAUUCCGGUAAGGUGGGAUCGAUCGGAGUACCGAUCCCGGUAAGUGGAAUCGAUCGGAGUACCGAUUCCGGUAAGGUGGGAUCGAUCGGAGUACCGAUCCCGGUAAGUGGAAUCGAUCGGAGUACCGAUUCCGGUAAGUUGGGAUAAGGAUGUAGGAAAGUAAGGAAUAAGGAUGUAGGUAGGUAAGGAAUAAGGAUGUAGGUAAGUGGAAUCGCUCAGAGCAUCAGAUCCCAGAGGGCGUGGUUGUAAGUUUCUCUCCACACGGAAUCUCUCCAGACGAGAACAUACGGCAAGAUAUUCAUUUAGGUAAGUUACAAGAUAUACGGACAUACUAUCACUCUGGAACGACACGACGUCUCAAAUGUAAAUGUAAGUAUAAACACCCUUCAAAUUAGUCAUAUGUAAUUUCUCAGUUUGGAGACAUUAACACGCUUACAGCGGGUAGAUGUCUAGUUUACACGGUAAAUUCUGUAUACAGGUAAAUUAAGCUAAGUAAAUGAUCAUUCACUGUACGGCAAACAAGUUAGAAUGUUAUAAGUUUUAUGUGCCGCAUUCAGUGUUGCAUGAAUCAAAGUGAAAUGAAUGUAAUGUGAA